ACGGGUGAGUAACACGUGGGUAACCUGCCCAUCAGAAGGGGAUAACACUUGGAAACAGGUGCUAAUACCGUAUAACAAUCGAAACCGCAUGGUUUCGUUUUGAAAGGCGCUUUACGGUGCCGCUGAUGGAUGGACCCGCGGUGCAUUAGCUAGUUGGUGAGGUAACGGCUCACCAAGGCCACGAUGCAUAGCCGACCUGAGAGGGUGAUCGGCCACAUUGGGACUGAGACACGGCCCAAACUCCUACGGGAGGCAGCAGUAGGGAAUCUUCGGCAAUGGACGAAAGUCUGACCGAGCAACGCCGCGUGAGUGAAGAAGGUUCUCGGAUCGUAAAACUCUGUUGUUAGAGAAGAACAAGGGUGAGAGUAACUGUUCACCCCUUGACGGUAUCUAACCAGAAAGCCACGGCUAACUACGUGCCAGCAGCCGCGGUAAUACGUAGGUGGCAAGCGUUGUCCGGAUUUAUUGGGCGUAAAGCGAGCGCAGGCGGUUUCUUAAGUCUGAUGUGAAAGCCCCCGGCUCAACCGGGGAGGGUCAUUGGAAACUGGGAGACUUGAGUGCAGAAGAGGAGA
RNAcentral lists this ribosomal RNA (572 nucleotides) under uncultured Enterococcus sp. RNAcentral describes it as "bacterial SSU rRNA". It matches the Rfam family "Bacterial small subunit ribosomal RNA", at positions 102 to 660 of the family's 1533-position model. The record is from RNAcentral. Lineage: Bacteria; Bacillati; Bacillota; Bacilli; Lactobacillales; Enterococcaceae.